RNAcentral lists this ribosomal RNA (682 nucleotides) under uncultured Cortinarius. RNAcentral's name for it is "eukaryotic LSU rRNA". The stretch from base 262 to 415 matches the Rfam family "5.8S ribosomal RNA". The record is from RNAcentral. Lineage: Eukaryota; Fungi; Basidiomycota; Agaricomycetes; Agaricales; Cortinariaceae.
CCGGACGGUUUUCGUACGUGACCUGCGGAGGUCAUUAUUGAAAUAAACCUGAUGAGUUGCUGCUGGUUCUCUAGGGAGCAUGUGCACACUUGUCAUCUUUAUAUCUCCACCUGUGAACCUUUUGUAGACCUGGAUAUCUCUCCAAAUGGGUUUUAGGAUUGAUUUUUUUCUUUCCUUGCAUUUUCAGGUCUAUGUUUUCCAUAUACCCCAUGUAUGUCUAUAGAAUGUAAUGAACAGGCCUCUGCGCCUAUAAACUUAUACAACUUUCAGCAACGGAUCUCUUGGCUCUCGCAUCGAUGAAGAACGCAGCGAAAUGCGAUAAGUAAUGUGAAUUGCAGAAUUCAGUGAAUCAUCGAAUCUUUGAACGCAUCUUGCGCUCCUUGGUAUUCCGAGGAGCAUGCCUGUUUGAGUGUCAUUAAUAUAUCAACCCUCUUCGGCUUUUUGCAUGUCGAAGGUUGGAUCUGGGGGUUUUUGCUGGACUCUCUCCUGAGGUCAGCUCCCCUAAAAUACAUUAGCAAAACAAUUUGUUAACCGCUCAUUGGUGUGAUAACUAUCUACGCUAUUGACGAUAACACACAGUUUAGCUUCCAACAGUCCAUUGACUUGGACAAUUCUUUAUCAAUGUGACCUCAAAUCAGGUAGGAUUACCCGCUGAACUUAAGCAUAUCAAUAAGCGGAGGAA